Procavia capensis (Cape rock hyrax) is the source of this 107-nucleotide small nuclear RNA. The record is from Ensembl. Lineage: Eukaryota; Metazoa; Chordata; Mammalia; Hyracoidea; Procaviidae.
GUGCUUGCUUUGACAGCACAUAUCCUAAAAUUGGAAUGAUACAGAGAAGAUUAGCAUGGCCCCUGGACAGGGAUGACACACAAAUUCAUGAAGCAUUCCAUAUUUUU